UCGGCCAUUCUAGGUGGGGCAUAUUCCGCUUUGGGAGCGGAAGGUCGUGGGUUCAAAUCCCGCUAGCCCGACUA
This 74-nucleotide transfer RNA is filed under the name Trueperella sp. HMSC08H06. RNAcentral's name for it is "tRNA-Pro". Lineage: Bacteria; Bacillati; Actinomycetota; Actinomycetes; Actinomycetales; Actinomycetaceae. The record is from RNAcentral.